Molecule: ribosomal RNA, 424 nt
Filed under: uncultured eukaryote
Lineage: Eukaryota
Description: bacterial SSU rRNA
Rfam family: Eukaryotic small subunit ribosomal RNA
Source: RNAcentral
CAAUAGCGUAUACUAACGUUGUUGCAGUUAAAAGCUCGUAGUUGGAUUUCUGUUGUGGUGAGUCGGCCGGCUCUUCGGAGUUGUAGCUAGAUUUCAUUGCAGCAUCUUGUCGUAAUCUCCACUGGCAUUUAUUUGUUGGUGUGAGGGACCGACUCGUUUACUUUGAGAAAAUUAGGAUGUUCAAAGUGGGCUAUCGCCUUGAAUAUAUUAGCAUGGAAUAAUAAUAUAGGACUUUUGGUUCUAUUUUGUUGGUGUUCGAGAACCAAAGUAAUGAUUGAUAGGGACGGUUGGGGGCGAUCAGUAUUCUGAAGCGAGAGGUGAAAUUCUUGGACCUUCGGAAGACUAACAGCUGCGAAAGCGUUUGCCUAGGAUGUUCUCUUUAAUCAAGAACGAAGGUUGGGGAGUCGAAGACGAUCAGAUACCA